Molecule: non-coding RNA, 1652 nt
Organism: Heterocephalus glaber (naked mole-rat)
Lineage: Eukaryota; Metazoa; Chordata; Mammalia; Rodentia; Bathyergidae
Source: RefSeq, a predicted model, not a curated record
AAUUGCCUUUUCAUAUUGUAAGUUAAUAUUUUUUCUUAUCAAUAAAGGGAUAUUUUAUUAAAAUAGACUAUAAUUUCAAGUGCUCUGAUGCAGUAGAAAAUGUAAAACCUCCCAGUAUUUGAGCAAGAUCCUAAAGUUUGAUCUGUGAACAUUAAAAUGAGUGUUUGAGUACACGAAUAUGCACAUAUAUUUUUAUGAAAUUAUGGAAGGUAGAGAUUCUAUUUUAUAUACUAAUUUUAGAGUGAGGAUUCAAACUGUGGCAUUAUCAACCUCUUAACUAACUCCAUACUACAAUUUGUCUCCUAAAAUGGGGAUGGUAGUAAUAGUUACCGGUAGGGUUGUGGCAUGCAAUAAUUCAGUGGAUAGAUGUUAUAACUUGUGUUUAGAUGUCCCCUCUAAAGCCUCAUGUGGUUGUAGGUGGGGCUUUUUCGGAAGUGGCUGGAUCUACAGUGUGUGACCUUGGAAUUGAUUUUGGUACAAUGCUAGGAUCAAGGGCACUAGGAUUAAGGGUGUGAGUGUUACGUGUCCUAAGGGCAAGUAGCCUGGCUAAGAUAUAAGAGACAAAAAGAGCUGUGGCCCUCCCUUGUUGUUUUUGCUACUUUCUGCCCACCAAGAACUAUCUCUUCUCUGUGAUGCCUGUUUCCCAUGUCAACUUGCCUGGAGGCUGAUUAUGGACUGAAACCUCUACAAACUGUGUGCUAAAUAAACCUUUUCUCCUUUCACUUUGGGUGUCAGGUAUUUUGUCCCAGCAAUGAGAAAAGCAGCUAAGACAAUAGAGGAACUGAAAUAGUGCUGGAACCCAGUAACAUUCGAAACAGGACAUCUGUUUCAUCAUAAACUUUGGAAGUAUAAAUCUAAAAGACCUGAACAUGCCCAUGGGAUCAUGAUGAACAAGAAUUUUCUAAAAGCAUGCCCCCACAUUCUUACUUCUACAAGCAUUUUGCUGAAGCACUGACUCCAGGCUAUUACCCUGUGAAAGUGAAAUUUUAAAAGAGCCAGUCUCAAGCAAAUCUGCACCAAUCCCCAGUUGGCUUGUUUUCCCCUUCACUAAUGAAACCCAGGAGGGUCCUGACAGGAGGUGUGACAAUUUGAGAGGCAGAGUGAAGAUCACAGAGGUUUUAUGAAUCAGCAAUGUGGAGCCUUGGGUGAAGUGAGGCUUCAGUCAGGUGUGGACUGAGAGCUACAGUCAUUUGGAGGCUUGACAGAAGCAAGAGAUCAGUCAGGAUGUCCUAUUCAUGAGCCUCUUGAGUAACCCUGACACAAUGCAUGGACAGACCACAUAAAGGCAUAAAUGCCAAGAGGUGGGAAUCAUUGGUGGCCAUCUUGGAAGACUGCUACCCCAGUGGCCUGAAGCUGAUUAGAGAGGAAUUGAAUGUUUGCAACACAAUGAAUGACAAGUGUUUUGAGGUGAUGGAUGUCAUACUGUGCCCUGUAAGUAUGGAAAACUAUUAUGCAUAAGUUAAAAAUAAAAGUAUUUUAGAAAUAAGUAAAAUGGGAAUUAUUUUGAUUAAUAAAUUACAUUACAAAUGUUAAUAAUAAAGACAAUAUUCUGGAAAAUAAAUGCUAAGUCAGGGAUUAACAAAACUUAUACUUAGCUUCCCAGUUGAUAUCUCUAUCUCCCUGUCUAUCUAUCUGUAUCUAUCUAGCAUGCA